Long non-coding RNA from Solenopsis invicta (red fire ant), 3080 nucleotides. RefSeq lists it as uncharacterized. The record is from RefSeq and is a predicted model, not a curated record. The transcript is spliced from 2 exons. NCBI's taxonomy places the organism in Eukaryota, Metazoa, Arthropoda, Insecta, Hymenoptera, Formicidae.
GUUGUUCUAAUAAUAUGACGCGACGCGUCGACCGCCAGCUGUCCCUCGUCCAACGCACUGGGAGAGGAGACACGUGGAGCGCUCUCCGGCGUGAACGGCGACGGCGCAUUCGACGCGCGGUUCCGUCGAUUCGCGUGGCGCGACAAGGACGCGCGAUCUAUGCCAAGCACAUUGGGACACGCCGCGUUGACGACGCGCGACAAAGAGACGUCCCAGCAAACAGACGAGUGGUUAGGAAGACGGCCCAAGGACGACCGGGUACAAAGACCCACGGAGACGAGACGCGACGCCACUCAACUCCACACUCCACUCGCAGUUCCUGCGUCCUGCGACUGCUAGCACUGCUGUCCGCGGUGGACAACUGUCACGCACAAAAUGGCUAUUCGCCGUUAGCAGCUUGGCACGAGGGCCUGGAGACGGCGCGCGCGUCCACUCCCCUCGCGCCCGACGUCGACGACGAGGAUACGCGUACGACUCCCAUCAUCCGUUCGCGUCGUCAACCGUCAGCUAUGCCGCGCGCGCGACGUCGCCACAUCGUUUUUUCCCGUCCGCUCGUCCGGACCGAAUUUCGCUUUUCGAAAUUUUCGCGCACAUACACACGCGCGCGCGUACACACACACAUACACGCGCGCGCGCGCGCAUAUGUAGCGGAUAAAGGGGCACACGGAUAAUGACUUCGCGCGCGAUCACUCAGAUGGCGCGAUGCACGCCGGUUUCGCGCUAUUUGUUUGUCAACAGACGGCAGCGAUGAUGAUAAGGAUGACGAUUACGACGACGGAUCUGCAACAACUCGAUGGCGUGAUUUGACAGCUGCUCUAUUAAUAGGCCAUUGCGAGGCGACUUCGUACUUUCUUCCGCUCCGUUUUGCUUCGCGCCGCGAAGUAUUUGAUUUGUUUGUUCCGUUAAAUCGUUGAAAGUUAAGAGAAUAAGAAUGGUUUGGAGUAACGGUAUUGCAUUUCCAUACUAUCGCUGUGUACAUACAUGUUAAAUUAAUUAAAAAUGGUCUAUUAAAAUAUACAUUUAUAAUACACGGGAAUUUUUUUACGCCUUUUGAGCAUGCUAUAUUAAUCACAAAUUUUUUUUCUCUAUUAACCUCUCUACAUUUCUAAUUUUUUUGUAUCUUUCAAAAAAGAACUCGCAAACAUUACGCUGCAAAAUAACGAGCAUAGAGAAUAUCCUAUCCUUCAUGCGCGCGAACGUCCGAUACGUGACGUGAAUUUGCUUCUCGUUUAUAUCUUUUUCCUUUUGCCUCCCUCAAAGCUUUUCAAAGUCUCGAGUUUUGCGCAUCUCUCUGAAGAUGGCGCGAAACGCGAGGUUGGCCGCAGGAAUUGUUUGUCAACAGAAAAAUUGUUCGGUCGGGGUCGUGUCCGUUGAAACGCGGCUAACGUCGCAUCGUCGCUAAAGUGACGCAAAUGUUGCAGAGAACGGCUUGAAUUUAGGGCGUAGCCCCUGCAUGCGCGGCGCGGCGCGGCCUCGCGCGAAAAGAUGCGGCCGGCGCUGACGCACGGAAACCCGCUUCCUCACGCGCAUCGCUUGGUCACGUUCGCGAGGGUCAGCCUCGCGCGCGAGUGUCCACCUCCUCUCUAGCCGCACGCUUCUCCGAAUUCAUUUCGCGCGUUUUGAGUGGACGAGUAUUGCCUCCGGAGAAAAAGAAGAAAAGGGAGAAAAAAGAACGAAAGAGUGCGGAAGUCGCAGUUGAAGACAACUUCACAGCAAUGAUUUGUACGAUUCGUGAGGAUCACAUGAUCGGGGCGAAUAGGCUAAUAUUUGUGUAGAAAAUUUUUUAUCCUGGAGAAUACGCACGUAACACUGUUGUAUAUGAUACAUGUUAAAAAUGCUAUGUAUUUGGAGCACUAUAAAGAUUGCGGGGAGUCAAUCGAAUGUCAAAGAAGUUAUAGCGCAACUUUAGCAUAACAAGCAAGCGUAUCUUUUGCCAUUAAAGAUUGUCAUUACAUAUUGUUGCGACCUAGUUACAAAAUAGAAGUAAAAAUAAAACGGCAAUCGUGAUUAUCUUCCGAGGCAAAAAUAAAAUAGUUGCGGUCUCUCGACAAUUUUCUUUACAUUGUAAACAUUCUUUAAUGAAGUAUAUUAUUUCUGUAUUGAUAUUACAAUUAUACUACUGCGUACAUAUAAUGAAAAAAAUGACUUCCUUUUGAUUGUUAAAAAUGUUCGUAACUAACCUCAAUAAUUUUAGAAUCUAAAAGGUAAAUUUAAUCUGUCAAAAAACAAAUUCGGGAGUCAUACUGUUGAGAUUCACGUUAGCGAGUGUCUUAUAAGAUCCAUAUGUGGAACUUUUCAGGAGCGAGUUUGUCAUGUUUGCUAAUAGCACGCGUACUCAGUAAUAUCAUAUAGUAACGAGGUCGAUUUGAAUAGUUGGAGAGCGCAUCGUUCGCAAGAGACUGAGAUUCGAAUUCUUUCCCUUUACACGCGCGCACGCGUGCGUGGUGUGUGUGUGUGUGUGUGUGUGUGUGUACAUACGUUGCGCUCACUAUAGCGGAGCAAGCAGACGUUAUGUUGAAGCGGCCGUAGGCAUAGUGAUCGAAAAUGGCGGGAAGAGAACAACGAGGGGAGAGAAAGAGGGAGAGGAGGCGAGCAUGAAGAGAAGGAAGGGGGAAGGAGGAGAGAACAGAGAAAGAAGCAGGUAGAGAAAGUGAGAGAGGGGCUCACACACUUGCCCGAAAUACACUAAAACGUUCUGACAAAUCGAUAAGCGGCGAGGAACGAAGCGGGAAACGCAGGCUGUGGGCUACUCUAACGCAGCAUCGCACAAGCAGGAGAUGAAAUGCAACUCACACCACCCAACUCCCUGAUCUGUGCCUCUAGCUUGGUCGCGACGGCAUGGUUCUUUAUGUCCAAAUAGAACGACUUGUCUUCCAGAGGUUGCGGGCCCUUUCGUAUACGAAUAUCUACAAAAAAAGUUUCCAAACCUUACUCAUUUUUACUUUGCAAUUAAUGUGACAAACGAUUGUUUGUCACAUCCCUAGACGCGCCGAGGUGCGACAAAAGGAUGCUUUUUGAUUCAAAUAAAUUUAUUGAGAUGUAUAGAUUGACAUGUAUACAUUAAAAACGUUUUUCAUUGA